Molecule: antisense RNA, 170 nt
Filed under: Erwinia sp. Leaf53
Lineage: Bacteria; Pseudomonadati; Pseudomonadota; Gammaproteobacteria; Enterobacterales; Erwiniaceae
Description: sok antitoxin (CssrC)
Rfam family: sok antitoxin (CssrC)
About the family: Also identified in Shigella as CssrC.
Source: Rfam by way of RNAcentral
CGGCGCUUGAGGCUUCUGCCUCAUGUUGUCGGCAGCAGUGCUGAACGUUGGUGAGGCAGAAAGCAGAAAAGCCCCGAAAGUUAAUUUCCAUUAACCCCCGAGGCCCUGCAUGCAAGAGAACAUUCAGGAUAGCCUCUUACCCGCCGCAAGGCAAGGAGAAGAAGGCCAUG